Lagenorhynchus albirostris (white-beaked dolphin) is the source of this 653-nucleotide long non-coding RNA. RefSeq lists it as uncharacterized. The record is from RefSeq and is a predicted model, not a curated record. Lineage: Eukaryota; Metazoa; Chordata; Mammalia; Artiodactyla; Delphinidae. The transcript is spliced from 3 exons.
AGUUAUUUACUCAGUAGAAAUGUCUAGCCCGGUGGUGAGAUGUUGAAGAUAUAUGAGACAAGGCCCCAGUGUCAGUGAGCUUACUGCCAAUGACUUACUUCCGGUGAGGAUGGCAAGUUCCUGGACAAUGCUGAAUCAUCUCACAUCCUGUGGUUCAUCGUCAAGGAUGUCAUGAUCUUACCAGACAGUAAACCAAUUCUCUGGAGAAUGACCACCUUGGAGGGCCAAUUUACAUCGAGUGUCUCACAAAGCCAGGUGAUAUUUUCAGGGAAGUGUUAUCAGCAUGAUGCAGCACCAAACAUUACAGCUAUUCCAUCUUCAUAUUAUAUCCCACCACUUUUUCAAAGCUCUGUCUUAGGGACUUCCUGGUGGCUCAGUGGUUGAGAAUCCGCCUGCCAAUGCAGGGGACACGGGUUUGAUCCCUGGUCCGGGAAGAUCCCACAUGCCGUGGAACAGCUAAGCCCAUGUGCCAAAACUACUGAGCCUGCACUCUAGAGCCUGUGAGCCACAACUGCUGAGCCUGCGGACCACAACUACUGAAGCCUGCGUGCCUAGAGCCCCUGCUCCGCAACAAGAAAAGCCACUGCAAUGAGAAGCCCGUGCACCACAACGAAGAGUAGCCCCCACUUGCCGCAACUAGAGAAAGCCCAUGC